GAUGAACGCUGGCGGCGUGCCUAAUACAUGCAAGUCGAGCGAACAGAUGAGGAGCUUGCUCCUCUGACGUUAGCGGCGGACGGGUGAGUAACACGUGGAUAACCUACCUAUAAGACUGGGAUAACUUCGGGAAACCGGAGCUAAUACCGGAUAAUAUAUUGAACCGCAUGGUUCAAUAGUGAAAGACGGUUUUGCUGUCACUUAUAGAUGGAUCCGCGCCGCAUUAGCUAGUUGGUAAGGUAACGGCUUACCAAGGCAACGAUGCGUAGCCGACCUGAGAGGGUGAUCGGCCACACGGGAAAGGAGACACGGUCCAGACUCCUACGGGAGGCAGCAGUAGGGAAUAUUCGGCAAUGGGCGAAAGCCUGACGGAGCAACGCCGCGUGAGUGAUGAAGGUCUACGGAUCGUAAAACUCUGUUAUUAGGGAAGAACAAAUGUGUAAGUAACUAUGCACGUCUUGACGGUACCUAAUCAGAAAGCCACGGCUAACUACGUG
RNAcentral lists this ribosomal RNA (497 nucleotides) under uncultured bacterium. RNAcentral's name for it is "partial 16S ribosomal RNA". It matches the Rfam family "Bacterial small subunit ribosomal RNA", at positions 28 to 507 of the family's 1533-position model. The record is from RNAcentral.